UACAUUCAACAAACUGAUAAUACAAGCAGCUCUAGAUGGUUUAAAAUUCUAACUAUGGUGCUAACGAAAUUGAAUACUGAAUGCAGAGCACGCAACAUUGAACGCGGAAUUGAACAUUGAAAGUCAUUACUCGGAAUUGGGUCUGCUGUUCAACGCCGGCUACAAAGUAAAGUACAUUCAACAAACUGAUAAUACAUGCAGCUCUAGAUGGUUGAAAAUUCUAAUUAUGUAUUUGAAACUUUAAUUAGGGUUUCAGAACAAUAACUUCAAUAAUAAAAUAUUUGAGUAUUACAUAAAAUUCGUUUAAGCUUUAACCUGAAUUUACAUUAGAUAUUAAAAGAAUGGUGUAUUACAUACGUCUGACGUAAAUGCGGUUUUUUAUUUACAAAUUAUUAAUGGAAAAACCAAAUCUCUCUUCCUUAAUAUACAGGCGUAAAAUGUUGUUAUGAAUUCGUUAGAUUCUCCAAAGGUCAAAGCUACAAGCAUUAACGAAGUGUUGAACAAAAAAUGGUCUCUUUUUCUGUAUAAACACUCGAAUAAAUUAUCUUAUCGAAAAUCGUGUCAAAGGUGAAAUAUUCAGGUUGGCAACAGAAUUGGCUUUAAAGCCAGACAGAACACGUUAUACGCCAACACUGGAACAGGAAUUAAGAAUUUAACAUAUAUACUACCAACACACCGCAACAUAUAUACUA
Parasteatoda tepidariorum (common house spider) is the source of this 692-nucleotide non-coding RNA. The record is from RefSeq and is a predicted model, not a curated record. Lineage: Eukaryota; Metazoa; Arthropoda; Arachnida; Araneae; Theridiidae.